Long non-coding RNA from Labeo rohita (rohu), 891 nucleotides. RefSeq lists it as uncharacterized. Lineage: Eukaryota; Metazoa; Chordata; Actinopteri; Cypriniformes; Cyprinidae. The record is from RefSeq and is a predicted model, not a curated record. The transcript has 3 exons.
ACGAGAUGCAGAGGGAGGUACGAGGCUGGAGAAAGACAGCUGCGGGUUUUGGACACUUUCGCAGCUGCCAGGAAAAUAGCGGAGGGGCGGCCGAGUCCGCCACACAAGCUUGAGCAUUACAACUUGCGUGGGAGUUGUUUGCAGUCCUAUCUGCAUUGUGGGCACGCAAGUUUAUGAGCACCGACGGCAGGGCGAAAAAACAAGAAGAAACCGCAGAUGGGUUCAUCUUGACCCUAUUAGAAUCAAACCAUAAUAAAAUACACAACAUGCUCACAAUUGGAUUAGGUGUGAAAGCGAGGAGAUCGAUAACAGGCCGGCGUACUGAUGCUACCAGAGGCAAAUAAAUAAAGUGGGGUGGUGGAGGUGGUGGUGGGACGUGGAGGAGAACUUCAAGAUUUGGCCAGAGGAGGGCGACGUAUCAAUACACACUAACUGUGCAAAUCCUUAUCCUGAAGAAGAGGUAGAUUAAAAAAAUAAAUAAACAAGUACAGUCUACGCCAAACUGAGUUACAGUCGGUCAGAGAGCAUGAUUUUUGAGUCCUCUACAGGAGAGAGCGGUUCUCAGCCCUGCCGAUUUGCACUGCUUCAGAGAAAUAAAGUUUUUGGAGUCAGUCAUGGCAUCUAUGAGUGAAACACAAGGCCGCAGUCUGAAGUUCGCAGUUUACCCGGCGAACAGCAGCCCUUCACCAGCUCAGAUUUCUGCGACACAGCAUGAGAAUUAGUGCUAUUUCAGUUAAAAGUGAUUACAGAGAACGGUUGAAUACACUAAAAAUUCAAUUCUACUUUUAAAUGUUACAUUUCUUUGUCUAAAAUUAUUGUUAAAUGAGUUUAAAUGUAUGUAAUAUUUUAAACUAUACUGUAUUCACCCAAAUAAAUUCAAUUUGUCUUGUA